AAAUGCGAUAAGUAGUGUGCAUUGCAGAAUUCAGUGAAUCAUCGAAUCUUUGAACGCACAUUGCGCCCGCCAGUAUUCUGGCGGGCAUGCCUGUUCGAGCGUCAUUUCAACCAUCAAGCCCCCGGCUUGUGUUGGGGACCUGCGGCUGCCCGCAGGCCCUGAAAACCAGUGGCGGGCUCGCUGUCACACCGAGCGUAGUAGCAUACAUCUCGCUCAGGGCGUGCUGCGGGUUCCGGCCGUUAAAAGCCUUUUUUACCCAAGGUUGACCUCGGAUCAGGUAGGAAGACCCGCUGAACUUAAGC
RNAcentral lists this unclassified non-coding RNA (302 nucleotides) under plant metagenome. RNAcentral describes it as "partial contains 5.8S ribosomal RNA, internal transcribed spacer 2, and large subunit ribosomal RNA". The stretch from base 1 to 104 matches the Rfam family "5.8S ribosomal RNA", at positions 51 to 154 of the family's 154-position model. The record is from RNAcentral.